AUAAAAUAAAGAAAUAAAAAUAAAAUAUUAGCUGUAAAAACAAUGGAUUAGAUUAAGGAUAUCACAGAACAAGUCACUGCGCCGGUAGUUAGCUUGUUUCAUUUCCUGGGCUUGAGGCUUUAACAAAGUCUUACCCCUUUCUUAUGUUUGUAACUUUCUAAAAAUCUUAAAUUGUUGUCACCAAAUUUUAUAAUCUGAUAUUCUAGAACAAAAAAUACAGUGACCAAAAUUAGCUCACUGAUUUUAACAACAGAAUAGACAAAACUACAGAGAAAAUUAGUGACUUAGAGCAGUGCUACUCAAAAUGCGUUCUAUAGCUACUAGUGUCUGGACUGGCUGCUGUUUCCCAAAGUCAAUAAUAGCAGUCCACAAUAAGAUGUGAAACUUGUGCGAGAAUGUAAGCAACUUUGACACUAAGCACACUACUUAGUUCAAAUGGCAUUUUCUUGAUAGCAAUACUUUGUGAAGAAAGGAUUUGUUGAUUUGCAUUAUGGGGCAAGCUCUUUAUCUGUUGUGGACUGGACCUUUGAGUAGCAGUGAUCUAGAGGAUAAUUGGGAAAAAAAUAUCCAGAAUGAAGCACAAAGAGACAAAAGGGUGAAAAUAUAGAAAGGAAAGGAAAGAGAUUUAGGGGAUGAAGCAAGGUAUAAUUUGCAAAUAGAAAAGAUGAAUAGUCCUAUAACUGUUAAAACAGUGCAUCUCAAAAUAUUUGUGUUGAUGACCAAUACUUUGAUAAAAUACAGUAAAAACAGCAGUGUUAAGCUAUUUUAAACACUUAAUCUUCAUUUUCUGUACUAUUCUCUUUAUAGACUGGUACAAAUGGUUCACAAACUAGUACUGGUCUAUAGACCAUAGUUUUAGUGGCAUGGUACUAAAAGAAAUUGAAUUCAUAAUUAAAAUCUUUCCCACUAAAAGAAUUCUAGUUUCCUAUGACUUCACUAGUGAAUUUUAUAAAUAUUUAAGGAAGAAAUAAUUAUACAGACUUUUCAGAAUAUAGAAAAGAAGGAAAUAUUCCCUGACUCUUUUUAAAAGGCCAGUGUAACCCUGAUAAUCAAAUCUGACAAAGACAUUACAAUAAAAGAAAAUUUCAGGAUAGUCUCACUUGUAAACUUCAAUAUAAAAAAUCUUCAACAAAAUACAUACUGGCAAACCAAAUCCAGCACUAUAUUGUGGCCUACUUGGUUUUAUUUCAGGAAUGCAGGGCAGCUUUAACAUUUGAAGACUAAUGUCAUUUACCAUUUUAAGAGAAUGAAGGAGAAAUAUAUCAUCAUCUUGAUAAAUGCUAAGAAAUCAUUUGAUAAGGUUCAGCAUUCAUUCAUGGUAAAAACUCUUAGCAAAUAGCAAUAAAAAAGGGAUUACUAAAUUUACAACAAACUUAUAGCAAAUAAUAAUUCACAGUGACAUGUUGAAAUUUUCCCUUUUGAGGUCAGAAAUGAGGCAAGGAUGCCUUCUAUCACUUCUAGUCAAGGUGUAAUACCUUAAUAGUUAAAGCUAUAAAACUGAAAAGGAAGAAAUAAACCUAUCAUUAUUCAUAUACAAUGUGACUGCAAAUCCUUAAGAUUCUAGAAAAUCCAAAAGAAGGAUCCAAAACAAGGUUUUUGGAUAUAAGGAUCAUAUACAAAAAAAUAAAUUAUUUCUAUAUAAUGGCAAAAAAGUAAUUUUAGAAUGGCGCCAUUCACCAUGGCAUCAAUAAAAUUAAAUAUAUAGGACUAAAUCUAAAGAAAACCCUCUACACAAUAAAUUAUAAAACAUUACUGAGACUCAAUAAUUUUUUUAAAACAUUGAGAAAAACCUUUAAAAGACCUAAAUAAAUGGAGCAUUUAUUGCAUAUAUGGAUUGAAAUUGUCAGUAUUAUAAAGAUGUUGAUUUACUUUAAAUUAAUCUACAGAUUCAAUGUAAUCUCAAACAGAAUCUCAAAAGGGUUUAUUGGGAAGGGUGGGUAUAGACUUUGAAUCUCUGAUUGUAAAAUUUAUAUGGAAAUGUAAAGAGUUAAAUAGCCAAGACACUCUUGAAGAUGAAGAACAAAUGUCGGAGGACUUGUUUUAUUUGAUAUUAAGACCUAUUGUAGGGGCAGUGGGCGACAGCAGAGGCAGCCCGCUGCCUGCGCACCUCAUGGCUGUGUGGGCUGUGCUGGCCUCACUGGUGGAGUUGGGCUUUGCCAAAGAGGUGCUGGCGUGGCGGCUACGUAGCAACCAGUUCCCCAGCAAGGUGGAUAGGCGGCUGGGCAAGGCCAGGCUGCCAGGGCCUGGGGCCUGGCCUGCGCACUCUGCAGCUGCCGGUUCGCCUUUCUUCUGCAGGUGUACAUGCCACUGUCCCGCCAUGACAACAUCUUCCACCAAUGCCUGCCUCUUCCUCUUCUGCUGUCGUCACCUUUAUAAGAAUCAGCUACCCAGGAAAAAUGGCUUUUACUCAUAGGGGCCACCUUCUGAGAAUCCCCCAUAAAAGGAGAAGCUGUGUGUUUCCAGCUUAAGUCUGGCACUCAUCUCUGAAGGGUUUGUGGCUGUUUAGGUCCCCAAACAUGCUCCCGAUCUUAGAAGGCACACUACUGCUGUAAGGUGCAUCAGGCUCUCAACUGGAAAUCAGGAUACAAGCAGGUGUGUUGGCAACCAGAUUGUUUUGGACCAUGCAAUUCCAGACCACAACUUCAUUUUUCUGAAUUGGAAAUUGUAAUAGAAACAGAAGAUGACAUUAUGCCUGAAGUUGUGGAAAAAGAAGAUGCUGCAGAGAUUGUGGGCAGCGUAGGUGAAGCACUUGAGGAAGAACUAGAUUCCAUGGCAAAACAUGAAUCCAGGGAGAUAAAAUUUUCCAGAAGUUUAAAACUCAAAUAGCCCUUGAACCCAGAACAGAAUCUCAGAUAUGGCAGAGGUCUUGCCCCCAUCUGGAUUUCUGGUGAAAAUAUCCCUCAAGAAAAGGAUAUUCCAGAUUGCCCCUGUGGUUCCAAGAUAAUAUUUGAAUUCCAAAUCAUGCUUCAGCUGCUGAACUACCUGAAGGCCGACAGACUGGGCAGGAGUGUGGACUGGGGCAUCCUGGCUAUCUUCACCUAUGCUGAGAGUUGUAGCUUGGAUACUGGCUAUACAGAGGAAUAUGUGUGGAAGCAGGAUGUAGCAGAUUUACCUUAAGGGCAUCUUAAAGCCUUAAAAAAUAUUAAUGAUCUUACACCUUAUAAUUCCUUUUCUAGGACUUUAUCCUAAGGAAAUAAUUAUACCAGAAAUAGAGGCACAGAGAUACAGAGAUAGAGAUGUUGCUUGAGGCAUUGUUUACAGUGUCUAAAUAUUAAUAAAACAAAAAUGUCCAAUGACAGGGAAUUAAAUAAAUUUUGGUGUUCCAUAGUGGAAGGCUACACAGUCUUAAUGAUGCACAUCUAUGUGGACAGUAAAUAAGAUAUAGAUAUAAAGUGACACUAAAUACAAUUAUAACUGGUAUUCAUUGUAUGACCAUAUUUUUAUAAAAAUAUUUAUACAUGUAUAUGUGCACAGAAAUAAAUCUAGAAAGACAAAAUUUAAAAAGACCUAUUAUUAAACUAUAGUAAUUAAGAUAGUGCCAUUUAUGUACAAGGAUGAACAAAUAUCUAGUUAUAACUAACCAUGAGAAAAUGAACAAAUGUCUUAAAGAAACCACAGAUUAAAGAUAAUACAGUCAUGCACUGCAUAAUGAUGUUUCAGUCAACAACAACAAUACAUGUAUGACAGU
Microcebus murinus (gray mouse lemur) is the source of this 3688-nucleotide non-coding RNA. Lineage: Eukaryota; Metazoa; Chordata; Mammalia; Primates; Cheirogaleidae. The record is from RefSeq and is a predicted model, not a curated record.